RNAcentral lists this long non-coding RNA (7679 nucleotides) under Brassica napus (rape). RNAcentral's name for it is "long non-coding RNA (BNAP_LNC026194)". The record is from RNAcentral. Lineage: Eukaryota; Viridiplantae; Streptophyta; Magnoliopsida; Brassicales; Brassicaceae.
UCCCUUUCUCACCUCUGUUCUUCCUUUAAGAAGUGGCCUUCCGGUAAGAAUCUCAGCGAAAACACAUCCCACGCUCCAAAGAUCGAUUGAUACGCUAUAACUCGUGGAACCCAUUAGAAGUUCAGGUGCACGGUACCAUAGCGUCACAACCCGGCUUGUUAACUGAUUCUUGUUUCUUGGCGUUACAAUGUUGGCUAGUCCAAAAUCAGCUAGCUUCAAAACUCCUUUGUUAUUCACCAGAAUGUUUGCGGCUUUGAUGUCUCUGUGCAUUAUCCCUCGUAAAUGACAAUGUUCUACGCCCAACAGAAGCUGCUGCAUGUAGCAUUUGAUCUGAAAAGGAAAUUAGGGUUAUCAGUAAAACAAAACAGAGUUACUUGCGCCAGACGUCAUGUUUUUUUCUCUGUAUGUCUUUCUUACUUGUGCCUCGGUGAAUUUGAUGUCAGGAGAUGAACAUAAGCCUUCGAGAUCAUGUUCCAUGUAAUCGAACACAAAGUACAUGCUAUUUGAAUUCCGUGACGCGAUGAUCCCUUCGAGUUUCAUGAUGUUUGGAUGAUCUAAUCUUCUCAAAAUCAUGAUUUCUCUCGCAAUGAAUCUUAUGUUUUCAGUUUCAAAAUUUUGAACCCUUAUUUUCUUUAGAGCCAUAACUCGUCCCGUCGAUACCUCACAAGCCCGGAACACGUUGCUAUACGUCCCUUGCCCAAUCUAAGAUUUUUUUCAAAAAAAAUGGUAGAAGUUAAUUGUUUACAUCAUAAUAGGGUUGUUUCUUGCAUUACAAGGUAUGUUUAGAGAACCUUCUCUCUUUUCUCGAAGUCCUCUGCGAGUAAUGGGCUCCAUCCGUGAACGGCCUCCGGUGCGGCAGAGCUGAGCCAUGAAGGCCAACCACCCGCCACCUGCUCAGCCUCUACAUUACCAUGCGUCAAUCCCGAUCUCAGGCUAACUCCGGUUGUCCUCGAUCUUGGAGCAUCAUCGUCUUUAUUGCGAUGCUUUUUUGGAGAUGAGUUAACAACACGGCGGUGAGGUGGAGGACUAGGAAGAACAUGAGGUUUGUGGUUGUUUUGGGGAUGACUCCGGUGGACAGCGGUGUCUAAACGGCGGCGGAGAUGGCGUGGAGGACCAGCGGGAGAAGAAUGCUUGGAGUGGAAGCAACCCAUAAUAACGAAAGCUAAUUAUCAAAGGAGAGGUUCCGGGUGGCGUGAGUAUGGACCCGAGUCGGGUAACGGGUCCAACGCAGGGAGGACAAUCCCCGCAUUAGACCAUAAAGAAAUGAAAAAAAAAGUGAGAAAAUUCAAAAACUGAAAGGAAAUUAGGUUUUGCUCAAAAGAGAGGAAAAUAGGUUUGGAUGUAAAAUCGAGAGAGAUAAUUACGGAUAAUAAGACAAUCCCUCCUUAUACAUUGGAAGAGAAAUAGAAAAGAAAAGCUAAUCUUCUUAUCUUUACUAUUUGUCUUUGUAUUAUUUACAAUAGAUUUAUAUAUAUUAUACAAGCACAUUUUAAAACAAAAAAAAAACUAAUAAAUUACUAGAGUUUAAAGGGAAAAGAAAUAUAUGUUACAUUCAUAUUCUCAAACAAUGAUUAGAUACAAAGAAAAUUACACAAUUAAUAGAAAAAGAAACAAAAACUUGUUAGAGCUGGUUUUAAUUUUAUUUUCCUUAGUCAAGCAUGCACAAGUCACAUUACACAUGUUACAAGUCAAUAAGAAGUAGCCUUCAGUAUCACUAACGAAGAUGCGAUCAAGAAGCUAGUGUGAUCAGAGUUCAGUUUGAGUUUUCUUGGUAUGAUCUUCAAAUUCCUUUGGAGUUUGAUACUAGAGAUUGCUAAAAGAGAUGUAGAGAAAGAUGGCGAGAUCUGUGCUCAGACGCAUGGGUUUCAACAUUGAGGAGUCCAUUGAUAAAGUUGAAGAGGUACAAAGAUUGGCUAACAGAUUGUAUAGAGAUGUGUCUCAAAUGAAGGGGGAGAUAUCAAAGCUUGAAGUUGAUUUUGCUGUUGCUGAGAUCAGAUGUAAAUGAUAUGUUUUUUUAUGAGACUAAUCAUGGUGUCCACUGUUUCAGAGGUAGAUGAAUAUAUAUUAAACCCUAAACAAUGUUGUAGCGGCGAGUUUCUCGUAAUAUUUUAAUUUACUAAUAGUGUAGCAAUCAUGUAAUUAAACAUGAAAAUAUCUAUAAAUUAUCUUAUUCAAAAUGAAUAUAUGAGGUAAUCAAUUAAAAUGAUGUAUUGGUUAGACUAAUUAAUAAUCUGUUUAGUUUUCUGUAAAUCAAAAAAAAAAAUAGUUUUAAACUUUGUGCAGUACUAAAAUCACCAUUUUACUUUUGUUUGUAUUAUAUUUCAUACAGACUAGUCUUGUAUUAUAAUAUAGACUAUAUGUUUCAUACAUAUUAGUCUAUGCAUAUUAAUUAAACAUGUGAACUUCAUGCAACUAAAAAUCGACCAAAUAUUUAAAAAUUGCCAAAAAUGAAGAAGAGCAAAGUAGAUUAGUAUGGAAUACAUAAGAACAUGAACAGUUAUGGUACAAUCUUAUGAAAUAAUGGCUCUAGUCUUUAAAGUUCUUAAAAGUAUAUUAUAUAGAUAACAAUUUCCACAUUAUGAAAAAAAAAUUAUACAUAUUUUUAGGAACUGUUUAUAGUUUCCAUAUGACUUGCAUAAGAGUCGAAGAUAAACUGUUUCCAAAACAUCUUUGAAGUCAUGUGAUAACGCGGCCAAAUUGCAACUUAUUAUAUCACCUACAAGACAAACAUCAAAUAUUUGAAAACUAGAUGUUUGUUCAAAAACUUUAAUACUGAAGUUAUAUAUGUUCUCAUCCACAUAUAAUUUCUGUAAAUGUGAAUAAACAACUAUAGAUGUGAAGAAAAACUAUAGAUCUGUUGUUUUUUUUUUGAAACACCCUAUAGAUCUGUUGUUAAGCAGUAGAAUUUGGGGGAAAAACUUUUGGAUAAAUUUUUAAAAUAGCAACUAACAGGUCUUUGGGAAAAACUUUGUCAUGUUCCAACAUCAAAUACAUAUAUUGUCUGACUCAUGGGCCAGAAUAUCGGGGUAUGCACUUAUUGAGUUUAGAAAUAAAUAAUAUUUUAUCAUAUAGUUGUGUAUAGAUGCAGGGCCGGGCCGGGCCUGAAAAAUAUUGGUCCACAAGCAAAAAAAUAUUUUUGGCCCUUUUAUUUCAUAAAAACAGUGAAAAUAUUGAAAAAACAGUUAGGAGAUUCGAUCCCGGGUCCAUAUCCGCACUGAGAGUAAAGUUACUAGUAGAGCUACAUGAUGUCUUUGUUUACUAUUGGCCCUUAAAACAUAUAUAUUUUUUUCGGGCCCCAAACACAUGCUUGAUGGGCUUCUAUUCAGGCCCGGCCCUAGAUGUCAUUGACAUGUUACAUCAUAUAAAGUGUAAUAGUGACAACUACCAUUACAAUGGUUCCAAACUGAAAGACCUAUAUACAAAUCAAAGCCCAAAAUAUAGGUCCAAUAAAGUUUUUUCUUUUCAUAUAAAGCAAAUUACACUUAUCUUUCAGGUUUCAACAAUUGAUUUCCCACCAACAAAAGCAUAGCAUGAACAAUCUCCCAAGGCACAGACACACUGACACAACGAAUGACUGAAGAUCCAAGAAACCAACAUAAUAGAGAGUAACGAACACUACGAGCUACGGAGGAAGGAGUUUCACUUUGCUAAGAAUCUAAACAAUCGUUUUUUUCUCAUAAAAAGAAGUCAAGACUCGUUAACAAAACCGCAGUACCGCGUCCCACAUUGUCCCGAUCACUGUAAAAACAGCUACUGGAAUGACAAACUGAUGUGCAAAACCAAAGUUGGAGAAGGCUCGUCUUGCACUGUUCUUGAUAGGUGCUGCGAUUGGUGGGGGAGGCGGUUUCUCAACUAAAACAUCGAGCUUCAUACCACCGUAACAUCCACCACCGCUACCGCUAAUGAGAUAGUAAUGUCUGGUCACAUUGAGAUGAACAACGUCCCUUCCAGAUCCACGGCUCCAGUUAGCGAUCGGGUUAUCGGCAUUGCAACUUAUGUAGUUGGUCUCGUUCACUUCUAUAACGUUGUAUUGGUUUCUCUCGUACACAAAAUCUGAAAGAAAAAAAAAACAAAUAGAGACACAUGGAUAGAAACUAUAUAAGUCAAACAAGAUACGUGAAAGGAUAAACAUUAAUCUUAGUUUACUAUCCUUUUACUGUAAGAAAACGACUAGGAAAGAAUCUAGUGGUCCUUUUCAGACAAGAUAAGAUUGAUUGUGUUGGACAAGAUCUUACACAAAGUUUUAAGAUGUUGUAACGUAUUAAAAGAGUGUAAGCGACCCAUUUCACAUCAGAUCUAAAUCAUAUAAUGUAGAGUGUGACAAGAAUCAACGUUGAUAGAGAGUGACAGGGAAUAGUACAGAGCCAGUCGUCGAGGUAGAAAUGUUUGUCCUGAGCCCAAAUGGUAUAGUUGAUAUUGGGAUUCCAGAACUUGUUAUCACCCACUAUCCAUCUCUUAGCGGCCACCUCAGUCACCGGAGCUGCCGCAAGAAAAGCCAGAACCACUGCCGCAGCCAUCAACGCAAGUCUAGCCAUCGAUCACUCUAGAAAGAAAAAGAAGAAGCUCAGUGCUUAAUGACUCUCUUAGUCUUAUCUCUCAAGAAAUAGCAGUUUUAUGAAUGAAUGUAUAUGAGCGAGUGGGGCUGUUUCCAAGUCAAAUCAGACAUACAUAUUUCUCGUUUUACGGGGAAAAGAUCUCUCAAGAUCCGUAAUUUCUUCAACUAACGUUUGGAAUCUUAUUACUACUUUAAUCAACCUCGAUGUUGACGAUGAAGUACGCGUUAAUUAAAGGUACGCGUUAUAUAGUUAAGGGAGUAAUUAGAUUUUAAUUGCUGGCAUUAUUAUUAUUUUUCUCUGGUUAGUACAUUAUUCAGUUUUGUAGUAAUAUUUUCUCACCUUUUUGGCGGGAAUUUAUUUCCAUUUUCUUUUUUCAAGGGUUCAGACUUCAGAGAUUCAAUUCCUUUAUUUACAUACGAAAUGAGUAUAUAUAUAUAUAUAUAUAUAUAUAUAUCUUUUGAAUAUUUAAAAUAAAAAUAAAUUACUAUAACAGUGAUACAUAUCAAAAUUUCCAAAACUAUGUGAGUACUUAUAAUAGUUGUACUUCUUAGUAAAAUAACGAGAUAUGUUUAUGGCUCGUCGCAUACAAAAAAGCAGAGCAUAUGUUCCCGCAAUAACAUGCACACGCAACUGAUGGCACGUCGUAACCAUUUCCGCGAACCAACCAAUGGAUAUUGUAAUUCGAUAAGACGACGUCGUGUUUUUGACCACGAAUAUUUCUUAAAUUUCCUUUUAUCUUUUGUUUUUGACGUCAUCACAUUGGUUUAUGUCCACACGAUAUCAGUCAUAAAAUCCACGUAGGAACGACUAUCCAUUACACCCAUCCACGUGUUCUCAUAACAGCUUCUAGUUCCAUUACCUGAACGAACAAUAGAAACAGAGCAUCGAACUGAGAAAGAAGAAGAAGGGAAGCAAGAGAAAUGGCGGCAGCGGUAAGAAUUAGACAAUUGNNNNNNNNNNNNNNNNNNNNNNNNNNNNNNNNNNNNNNNNNNNNNNNNNNNNNNNNNNNAGUGAGUAAUGUGAAGAGACAUGAAACCUUGUCCGUCGUAAUAAAGUUUUAGUUCUUUUGGAUCCCACGGCAGAAUAACUCCUCUCCAUGCCUUUGAUCCUCCUCCACUUGUCAGAAAUUGAAUCCCACUUCACCAAUUCCAAACAAUGAAUUAUUUAGGUUUUGUCUGAAGUAGUAAACAUUUAAACUUAACUAAGACUUUGACUAAUCUAGAUUCAAAUAAAAUUUGUUUAAAACAAAAUGAUUUCGUGUUUUAUUUUUCAUUCAAGAAUGUAAACCAAUACGAUCCCUAUUGAUGAAAAGAAGAAGUAAAUAGAACUUUACCCGUCGGACCCAAUGUGCUGCAAGCAAUGAUCAUGUCCGUUCAUGUACACGUCCACUUUAUUUUCCUUCAAUAGUAAAUAAAAGAAUUACGACAAAAGUACUAAAUAAAUAUCCCCUAUACUAUAUUUGCGAAGUGAUUUUGCCACGUGUCCUUUCUACAAUCAAUUUCACAAAACAAAUAUGACAUGGCUACUGAAAUUGAUGACAUGUCUUAUAGCUUAAUAUGACAUGAGGCUAAAGAUGGAAUUUCUUUAAUCUAUAAUAACAUAUCAUUAUUACUAAUUUAUUGUGGUCCAAUAUGUUCUGAAUUUCACAUUUAAUCUUUUUUAUUAGUACUAUGGAUAAAUAAUUCAACUUGCAUCUUUUAUUUUGUUUGAAAAGUUUGAUUAGAUAACCAGAUUGAUGGUGUUUAAUUUGUAAUAGUCAUCUUAUAUGCCACCAUUUGGUCUCCCUUUUUCUUUGUGUCAACGUGUUGCUAUUUGUACAAUUUUACUUAUGCAUAACCUAAGGUAAUUUUUUAUGGGUAAUUGAAACAUUGAGUAAAGGAUAACCAAAAACUUUACAUGAGUAAACAUAUGAGAUGGUUUCACUUGGUAAAAAUGUCUAGUAUCCCCUAAACUAUAUUUGAGAAGUGAUUUGUAUAUGUGUGUCGUCGCUUGAGAUGAUGUCUCUGAUGGUGUCUGGACAAUGAUCUCUGUCUCAGCUUCCUUCUUUCCUUCCUGCGUUAACAUUUAACCAAAUUACGAAUAAAGAACCGGAGAUUAGAAGCAUCGGUUUACUCCGGUCUAUUUCCAGCUUCAAAACAUAAAAAAAAAAUUAUCAAUGAGGGUAACUUGCUGGAAUACGUACCUGUUGGGUUGGUAACUUGUUGAGAUUCGUAGGCUCUUUGAUUGUUGAUUUCCCUGAUUUCUUGGGUGCCAAGUUAUCUCUUUUCCUUAUACCAACUCUUCUCCUGCAAAAACAAAUAUUUUAACCUCUAAACACACGUAUAUGUAAAAAGUUUGUGAAAAUCGAUAAUGAUUUAAACCUUCGUUGAAGUUCUUCGCGAUACUUAGCAUCCAUUUCUUUGUUAGGAGGGUACUUAGGUAACGUCGAUGGAUCACAAGCGUAAGGCUUUGUGUUAAAAUACUGAAAUAACAGCAAAAAACCACAAAUAAGACCAGAUAGUGUCAGUUUAAAUUUAUUCAUUUCUGUUUAGGUUUUCUUUAAUACCUCUGACAUGAUAGCAGAAGAGGCAGUUCCUCGUUUCUCAGGAUUAGUAGAUAAUAAUUUCUCCAGAAGACUAACUGCUGUUUUUGGAAACUCCUCAAAACUUUCUCUCAGACAACCUUCAUAUUGAUGUUGUGGUCUAAACAUCUUAGUUUGAGAAUGAAGCUUAUUGUUCUUUUCCCAAAAUUCUUCAUCUGGUGGUCCACAGAGUUUAUAAAUCUUGUGAAGUUGUUCAAUCUACAUAAAACAAACAAAUAAAUAUUAUCUCUAUUUGGAAUGAGUAAUUUCUAUAUAUAUAGCUUGGGUCCCUUUCCUCACCUCUGUUCUUCCUUUAAGAAGUGGCCUUCCGGUAAGAAUCUCAGCGAAAACACAUCCCACGCUCCAAAGAUCGAUUGAUACGCUAUAACUCGUGGAACCCAUUAGAAGUUCAGGUGCACGGUACCAUAGCGUCACAACCCGGCUUGUUAACUGAUUCUUGUUUCUUGGCGUUACAAUGUUGGCUAGUCCAAAAUCAGCUAGCUUCAAAACUCCUUUGUUAUUCACCAGAAUGUUUGCGGCUUUGAUGUCUCUGUGCAUUAUCC